GAUCAUGGCUCAGGGUGAACGCUAGCUACAGGCUUAACACAUGCAAGUCGAGGGGCAGCAUGGACUCAGCUUCGCUGAGUUUGAUGGCGACCGGCGCACGGGUGAGUAACGCGUAUCCAACCUGCCCCUUACUCCGGGAUAGUCUCCUGAAAGGGAGUUUAAUACCGGAUGUGUUUGUCUUUCCGCAUGGGAGCGACAAAUAAAGAUUGAUUGGUAAAGGAUGGGGAUGCGUCCCAUUAG
This 240-nucleotide ribosomal RNA is filed under the name uncultured bacterium. RNAcentral describes it as "partial 16S ribosomal RNA". It matches the Rfam family "Bacterial small subunit ribosomal RNA", at positions 15 to 244 of the family's 1533-position model. The record is from RNAcentral.